This is a small nuclear RNA of Sceloporus undulatus (fence lizard), 116 nucleotides long. RefSeq annotates it as U5 spliceosomal RNA. The transcript has a single exon. The record is from RefSeq and is a predicted model, not a curated record. Lineage: Eukaryota; Metazoa; Chordata; Lepidosauria; Squamata; Phrynosomatidae.
CUCUCUGGUUUCUCUUCAUAUCGUAUAAAUCUUUUCCCUUUUACUAAGGAUUUCCGUGGGAAUGUAUUUUUUUUAAAGUAACUUUUCCACAUAUAAAUUGCUCAGUUCCCAGCAGA